Oncorhynchus mykiss (rainbow trout) is the source of this 1788-nucleotide non-coding RNA. NCBI's taxonomy places the organism in Eukaryota, Metazoa, Chordata, Actinopteri, Salmoniformes, Salmonidae. The record is from RefSeq and is a predicted model, not a curated record.
AACCAGAGACACUGGAAUAUAAUGACCUCUCUGCUAUAAUUUAGCUAACGAUUUUAAAUUAUGUUAUGUAGCUAUCUUGUGAUGAAGCGAGGCAGGCUAGCAAAAGUUUUAGCUAACGUUAAGAGUAGCUAGCUAAUUACCUCAUUACAACAUAGUUAGGUUGUAGCUCAUACUAGUUUACUGUGUAUUGUCUGGAUACUGUUGGUUAUGUCACGUUAUCAUUUGAUAAUGUUAGUGAGGAAGGCUAGCUAGCUAAUGUUAGCCUACAAGUCAGUCUACAUCUGUAAAGCAUAGAAUUAGGGGUUCCACUAGUUACCGCAGCCACAAAGUCCAAAUGGACUAGAAUAACAAUGGUUAAAAACAAAAAUUAGUUUAAUGUAAGGUUAGGCAUAAGGUGGUUGACAUUGCUUGUCCAAAUAUAUAUAUUCUUAAUUCUAUUCCUUUAAUUUAGAUGUGUGUUGUGAAAUUGUUAGAUAUUUCUGUACUGUUGGUUGGAGUUAGAAACACAUGCAUUUCUCUACACCAGCAAUAACAUCUGCUAAACGCGUGUAUGUGACCAAUAAAAUUAGAUUCUUAGGUUCGCAGUGUGGUUAGGAUAAGAGAAAUUGUAGAAAUAGGCAGUGUUUAUGACUUUGUGGCUGUGUUAACUAGUGACAAUCUAUAACUAAAUUGACCCAAGGUACUGCCCUGAUGACACAGACGGCUUCAUCAACAAUGUGUUAUGUGGAAAGUUUUAUUAAAACAUACCGUUUGAUAAACUAGUAGGUUAAUUACCCAGCCAAGCAGAUACAAAUAGUACAGUCAUUUUUGUGAAGUGCAUUAUCAAAAGGCGUUGUCCUUUAUAACAAAAUGCUAUUUACCACUUGGCUGUCUAUUGUAUCACCCUGUCACAGGCCCUCCCAGUCAACACCACCUCAUAAGAUGAGGACGUACGUUGUUUAUGAGGAUUGCCUUCUGCAGUUGUUUGAGAGAUUGCCAGUUUGCAGCAGAACAUGCAACAUAGAGAAGACCAGCAAGGGGACCCUCAGCAUCACACAGACAUGCCCCUCGCUGUGAGCAUUCCUAUAAAACGGAACAGGGAGGACACUUGAAUCAGUAUCUUUGAGGGGUCAGGAGCUCAUCAAUGCUGCGAUGCCCAUCAAUGGGGCACUGGCAAAGAACUUGCUUCUUGCCUCCUCACCAAUGGUCGUCGAUGGGGAGACAAGAAUUAGAAACAUGUAUGGAGCCAGCACAUGGAGACUUGCAAGAUGACGUGAUGAAGUCUGAUGUCUCUAAAUGGACCUGGCACUCUGCAUACAUUUUUUACUACAACCUUUACUUGUAUUGUCUUUUUUUAUUAUUGGGUUGACUGGUAUCAGUCAGUAUGGGGAGGGAGAAACUCUAUGUAUUCUGCACCAGGAUCAAGGAACUCCUGUUUUAUAUGGGACACCACACAGGAAGGUACACUGGCAUGUUAGCCAAGGUAGCCCCAUUACCACCAGACAAAAUGCAGAUAGGCACAGUAUCUGUAUCGGCUUGGAAUGACAAUGAAAGGUGUAUUUUGUUAUACUGUAUUUGCAAAACACUGCUUAUAUUGUAUUAUUUAAAGGGUUGUUUAUUCUGCAUGGAUCUGUAACUACAUUUGAAAGUUAUCAAAACACUUUGUUUAGAAUAUCUACAUAAAUUCAACAAUUGCAUUCUUCUCAUAUUACUCUGAAGACUACUGACCUGUUUCCUCCGGCAUCUCCUCAUACAUCUGCCUGUAGUUAUUGAACUCCAGCUGCCGGGGUUUGUUUGUGGUUAUUGAGU